CUUUUUAGCAGGGGCCUUACGGGUUCGCGCUUUGGUCCUGGAGGCCUUAUCCUAGCCUCCUCUGUAUCAGCGCCACCAGUCUGGGGCCCGAAAGGAGGGAGCUUUCCCUCUGUCCCCCAGCCUUUGGACUGUCACCAAACAAGCCAUUCGUUCACCAAAUACUUAUUAAGCGCCUACCAUGUGCCUGACAAGGGAGAUGUAACGAUAGAGUCUCUCUCUCUGCCACCCAGGCCAGAGUGCAGUUGACGCAGGGCAGGGGAGCCCCGAAGUGGAGCAUAGUGUGUCCGGAACUGGUGGGUUCUUGGUCUCCCUGACUUCAAGAAUGAAGCCACGGACCCUCGGGAAAUGAGGCUUCUCCCCAGGACCAGCAUUCCACGAAGGCAGCCCUUUUCUAGAUGGAGAAAACAGAACCUGAAGACACCCGUUUCCCUAAACUGCUCUCGCUCAUGUUUCUACAAGGCCUGGAGCUGAUAGGAAAAACCUCCCUUCUUUCCCAAAUGGUCCCCAGCUGCCCCGUUCACUGAAGGCCCUGCAGUCAGGAACGGUCAGGACUUCACACCCAGUUGUUGUGGGUGUUUGGCCGACACGACACUUCCUCUUGUGUGAUUCAUGGACCCGCAGCAUUGCGUCACCUGGGAGCUUUUGGUAUUGAAGACUCUCAGGGCUCACCCGGAAGGACCUGCUGGGCCAGAAUCUACAUUUUAACAAGAUGCCCAGAAACUCCUGGAGGGCAGAGGCAUGCCUGCCAUCUUCAUCAUUGCAUUACCACCACCCAACACUAUCGGGGGACCUGCCCUGAUAAUCAGUAAAACCAACACAAAAC
This 823-nucleotide long non-coding RNA is filed under the name Homo sapiens (human). RNAcentral's name for it is "non-protein coding lnc-PRAG1-3:4". The record is from RNAcentral. Lineage: Eukaryota; Metazoa; Chordata; Mammalia; Primates; Hominidae.